CUUUGGUGGUGUUUCACCAGAUUCUGGAGGCAUUCGGAGUGCCUUUCGUCACAAUGUGUGCUUAUGAUGAUGUAGAGGCAGUCUCUGAACGUAUGACCCUAGGAUCAUGCUUCAAUGUGCUUAAGCCGUUUGGCACCGAAACCGUCAACAUUCUGUUGCACAAAGCACGGCAACACAAAUCUAAAAGGGUGCUACCUGAGGGAACAAGCAUUCCAAAGAAAACCCAAGGUAGAAUGGAUUCCUCAUCUGCUAAAAAUCACAGGUCUGAAACUGAGGGCGAAGAACCUUAUGUGUUCAAAGCACAUAGCUCAAAGAAGCUGUGUCGGUUCACGUGGACCAGUCAGCUCCAUGAAAGGUUCUUGCGGGCUGUUCAAGUGCUUGGGGAGUUUGCUACGCCUAGAAACAUUCGUCGGUACAUGAAUGUCAAUAAUUUGAAUUUGACCUUGGGGAACAUAUCAAGCCAUCUCCAG
This is a long non-coding RNA of Lolium rigidum, 470 nucleotides long. RefSeq lists it as uncharacterized. NCBI's taxonomy places the organism in Eukaryota, Viridiplantae, Streptophyta, Magnoliopsida, Poales, Poaceae. The record is from RefSeq and is a predicted model, not a curated record. The transcript is spliced from 3 exons.